GAUGAACGCUGGCGGCGUGCUUAACACAUGCAAGUCGAACGAAGCACCUGGAUUUGAUUCUUCGGAUGAAGAUCCUUGUGACUGAGUGGCGGACGGGUGAGUAACGCGUGGGUAACCUGCCUCAUACAGGGGGAUAACAGUUAGAAAUGACUGCUAAUACCGCAUAAGACCACAGGGUCGCAUGACCUGGUGGGAAAAACUCCGGUGGUAUGAGAUGGACCCGCGUCUGAUUAGGUAGUUGGUGGGGUAACGGCCUACCAAGCCGACGAUCAGUAGCCGACCUGAGAGGGUGACCGGCCACAUUGGGACUGAGACACGGCCCAAACUCCUACGGGAGGCAGCAGUGGGGAAUAUUGCACAAUGGGGGAAACCCUGAUGCAGCGACGCCGCGUGAGCGAAGAAGUAUUUCGGUAUGUAAAGCUCUAUCAGCAGG
RNAcentral lists this ribosomal RNA (433 nucleotides) under uncultured bacterium. RNAcentral's name for it is "bacterial SSU rRNA". It matches the Rfam family "Bacterial small subunit ribosomal RNA", at positions 28 to 443 of the family's 1533-position model. The record is from RNAcentral.